CCUACGGGAGGCAGCAGUGAGGAAUAUUGGUCAAUGGACGAGAGGCUGAACCAGCCAAGUAGCGUGAAGGAUGACUGCCCCAUGGGUUGUAAACUUCUUUUAUAUGGGAAUAAAAUGUUCCACGUGUGGGAUUUUGUAUGUACCUUAUGAAUAAGGAUCGGCUAACUCCGUGCCAGCAGCCGCGGUAAUACGGAGGAUCCGAGCGUUAUCCGGAUUUAUUGGGUUUAAAGGGAGCGUAGGGGGAUUGUUAAGGCAGUUGUGAAAGUUUGCGGCUCAACCGUAAAAUUGCAGUUGAAACUGGCAGUCUUGAGUACAGGAGAGGUGGGCGGAAGUCGUGGUGUAGCGGUGAAAUGCUUAGAUAUCACGAAGAACUCCGAUUGCGAAGGCAGCUCACUGGACUGCAACUGACACUGAGGCUCGAAAGUGUGGGUAUCAAACAGGAUUAGAUACCCGUGUAGUC
This 460-nucleotide ribosomal RNA is filed under the name uncultured bacterium. RNAcentral's name for it is "partial 16S ribosomal RNA". It matches the Rfam family "Bacterial small subunit ribosomal RNA", at positions 338 to 795 of the family's 1533-position model. The record is from RNAcentral.